Small nuclear RNA from Sorex fumeus (smoky shrew), 103 nucleotides. NCBI's taxonomy places the organism in Eukaryota, Metazoa, Chordata, Mammalia, Eulipotyphla, Soricidae. The record is from RefSeq and is a predicted model, not a curated record.
GCUAGUGUGACAGACAUAUACUAAAACUGGAACAAUACAGAGAAGAUCAGCAUGGCCCUGGCUGAAUGAUGACAAGCAAAUUUGCGAAGUAUUUCACAUUUUU